ACACUCCUGCGGGAGGCAGCAGUGGGGAAUUUUGGACAAUGGGCGAAAGCCUGAUCCAGCAAUGCCGCGUGAGUGAAGAAGGCCUUCGGGUUGUAAAGCUCUUUUGUCAGGGAAGAAACGGUGAGAGCUAAUAUCUUUUGCUAAUGACGGUACCUGAAGAAUAAGCACCGGCUAACUACGCGCCAGCAGCCGCGGUAAUACGUAGGGUGCAAGCGUUAAUCGGAAUUACUGGGCGUAAAGCGUGCGCAGGCGGUUUUGUAAGUCUGAUGUGAAAUCCCCGGGCUCAACCUGGGAAUUGCAUUGGAGACUGCAAGGCUAGAAUCUGGCAGAGGGGGGUAGAAUUCCACGUGUAGCAGUGAAAUGCGUAGAUAUGUGGAGGAACACCGAUGGCGAAGGCAGCCCCCUGGGUCAAGAUUGACGCUCAUGCACGAAAGCGUGGGGAGCAAACAGGAUUAGAUACCCCAGUAGUCC
RNAcentral lists this ribosomal RNA (471 nucleotides) under uncultured organism. RNAcentral describes it as "partial 16S ribosomal RNA". It matches the Rfam family "Bacterial small subunit ribosomal RNA", at positions 333 to 796 of the family's 1533-position model. The record is from RNAcentral.